UACGGAGGGUGCAAGCGUUAUCCGGAUUCAUUGGGUUUAAAGGGUCCGCAGGCGGGCUUGUAAGUCAGGGGUGAAAGCCGGCAGCUUAACUGUCGAACUGCCUUUGAUACUGCAAGUCUUGAGUGAGAUUGAAGUAGCUGGAAUGUGUAGUGUAGCGGUGAAAUGCUUAGAUAUUACACGGAACACCGAUAGCGAAGGCAGGUUACUAAGUCUUAACUGACGCUGAGGGACGAAAGCGUGGGGAGCGAACAGG
Molecule: ribosomal RNA, 253 nt
Filed under: uncultured bacterium
Lineage: Bacteria
Also listed under: 2 other names
Description: partial 16S ribosomal RNA
Rfam family: Bacterial small subunit ribosomal RNA
Source: RNAcentral